This 637-nucleotide ribosomal RNA is filed under the name uncultured bacterium. RNAcentral describes it as "bacterial SSU rRNA". The stretch from base 1 to 536 matches the Rfam family "Bacterial small subunit ribosomal RNA", at positions 338 to 873 of the family's 1533-position model. The record is from RNAcentral.
CCUACGGGAGGCAGCAGUGAGGAAUAUUGGACAAUGGGCGCAAGCCUGAUCCAGCCAUGCCGCGUGCAGGAAGAAGCAUCUAUGGUGUGUAAACUGCUUUUGCACAGGAAGAAACACUCCCUCGUGAGGGAGCUUGACGGUACUGUAAGAAUAAGGACCGGCUAACUCCGUGCCAGCAGCCGCGGUAAAUACGGAGGGUCCGAGCGUUAUCCGGAAUCAUUGGGUUUAAAAGGGUCCGUAGGCGGUUUAAUAAGUCAGUGGUGAAAUCUGGUCGCUCAACGAUCAAACGGCCAUUGAUACUGUUAGACUUGAAUUAUAAGGAAGUAACUAGAAUAUGUAGUGUAGCGGUGAAAUGCUUAGAUAUUACAUGGAAUACCAAUUGCGAAGGCAGGUUACUACUUAUGGAUUGACGCUGAUGGACGAAAGCGUGGGGAGCGAACAGGAUUAGAUACCCUGGUAGUCCACGCCGUAAACGAUGGAUACUAGNUGUGUAGNAUACUGAGUGGNGUAGAGAAGUAGAGUAAGUAAGUACCACCGUACGGGAGGUAACGGUUACGUCGAAGAAGUAAGUUAAAGUUAAAAGGUAAAAGUUAAGUUAGGCGUGAGAGAGCGACGGACGACGACGAGGGAGGAGGAG